GUUUUAAUAGUUUAUUUAAAAACUUUGGUCUUGUAAUCCAAAAAAGGAAAUUUUUUCCUUAAAACU
Molecule: transfer RNA, 66 nt
Filed under: Blepharipoda liberata
Lineage: Eukaryota; Metazoa; Arthropoda; Malacostraca; Decapoda; Blepharipodidae
Description: tRNA-Thr
Rfam family: tRNA
About the family: Transfer RNA (tRNA) molecules are approximately 80 nucleotides in length. Their secondary structure includes four short double-helical elements and three loops (D, anti-codon, and T loops).
Source: RNAcentral